Molecule: long non-coding RNA, 381 nt
Filed under: Crocodylus porosus (Australian saltwater crocodile)
Lineage: Eukaryota; Metazoa; Chordata; Crocodylia; Crocodylidae
Description: lncRNA (ENSCPRG00005001205.1)
Source: RNAcentral
GCUCUGUAUAUGUUAAGCAACAUGACUGACAAAAUUAGCUAUGACUACUCUGCUGCAUUAUGAAAAUAAGGGAAGAGAGAUUAAAUUUAUGUUGCUAUUUUUCAGAAACAUAAAAUUGUAUUACUUAAGAGGGAUUAUAUGCCCAUACCUUUUCUUGAAGUUACCAUGGAUACAGAUACUAUUAUGGAUACUCAACAAUGCUGAAAGCUUUAUAUUGAAUCUGAGCCCUUCCAGUUUAAGUUAUAAAACCUCAAUAACAGUGUGGCUGCAUUGUAUAUCCUGAGAUCAAACCCAUGCAUUCAAAGCAGUGCUACUCAACAUUGCUGCCGUGUCUCUCCUGGAGUCAAGCUCAAUGUAAAUAAAAGGACAACCCUGAGUACA